Molecule: long non-coding RNA, 1211 nt
Organism: Aethalodelphis obliquidens (Pacific white-sided dolphin)
Lineage: Eukaryota; Metazoa; Chordata; Mammalia; Artiodactyla; Delphinidae
Exons: 2
Source: RefSeq, a predicted model, not a curated record
CUCAGGGAACAGGCUUGAGUCAGUCACCGUGACAGAGAGGAAGAGCGCGAGGCCAGAAUGCUCCAGGCGGGGAACGUGCUCCGAGAGCCCGCGCCGGCUCUGACGUCAUAGGCGUGCGUCGGAGCAGGUGCGCUAGCGUCGCCCAGAGGGCCGUCCUCGGUCGUGGGGGAGGGUGGCGUCUGUGUGGAGUUCGACGAAGUGCGUGUGGAAAUGAGGCCCUGACCAGACAGGGGCGUUGACGGUUCCGUUGAAAAUGAUUCAAGGAGUGACAAAAAGUUUAAGGAGCCGCUAGAAUUAAACCACCUUGUUCGUGCUUUCUUUUGAGAUAGGCUCGCGAGAGAAACGUGAUAGAAGUCUGUGCCUGAGUCUAGAAAGUUCCUUCCGCUUAAAUCUGAGCAAGAGUGGGUAUCCGUGUACGUAUGACUGACUCACCUUGCUGUGCAGCAAGGAACCAACAACACGGUAAAGUGACUCUACGCCAAUAAAAAUCAAUUUUAAAAGAAAGAAUAAAAUAAGACAGAAGUGUGGGGUAUUGCUUCUGAGAUUUUGUUUAAGAAGACUACAUUGCAAGGACUUCCCUGGUGAUCCAGGGGUUAGGACCCGGCACUUCCACUGCCCAGGGCCCGGGUUGGAUCCCGGGUGGGGGAACUAAGAUCAUCCCACAAGCCGCGUGGUGAGGCCCCCGAAAAAAAACAGAAAGUAAAAAACGACUGCUAGCUUGCAUACCUUGCUCUCUUGCUCCCUCUGAGGGAAGCCAGCUCUCAUCUUGACAGCUACCUUACAGAGAAGCCCACAUGGCGAGGAACAUCAGCCUCUGGCCAAUAACUAACCUUGAGGAAGUGAAGCAUUCAGUUCAACAGCCUGAGGAGCUGAAUCCUGUCAACAGACAUGGCGGGGUGAGCUCGAAAGCAGAUCCGCCCCACUCAGGUCUUCAGGUGACACUUUGGCCCAGGCAACACCUUAAGGGCCACUCUGCUAGAGUCCUUGAGGCAGAGCACCCCAGGUAAAGGUUGCCUGAUUCCUGACCCUCCGAAAAUGAGAUAACACAUGUUUGUUGUUUUCGGCCACUACAUUUUGGCAUCAUUUGUUCUGCAGCAGCGGGAAACUAAUACACUCUCUUACAGUCGCCAAGGUGUGGAAGCAGCCUAAGUGCCCAUCAGCAGAUGAGUGGAUAAAGAAGACGUGGAAUAUAUAUACACAAUGGAAUAGUA